Acipenser ruthenus (sterlet) is the source of this 2765-nucleotide long non-coding RNA. RefSeq lists it as uncharacterized. The transcript is spliced from 3 exons. NCBI's taxonomy places the organism in Eukaryota, Metazoa, Chordata, Actinopteri, Acipenseriformes, Acipenseridae. The record is from RefSeq and is a predicted model, not a curated record.
UGCUGUUCCGAUCGUCUGAUCACUGGCUUUGUGAAGCACGAUGCUUUUUAAAAAGCGCUUCAGAUAUCCUGGCUGCGACAAUAUCUUAUGGUUCAAGAAUGUAGACUAUACAUUUUAUCAGUAAAAUAGGACUAUGGUGUAUCGAUUUAGGUCUCCCGAGACCAACUGAAAAUAUGAAGCUUAAAAAGACUUUUAAAAAGCUUAGCACAAUCUGGUCAUGUCUGUUACCUUAUUUUUAACUUAUUAUUUAACAUUUUAAUCAGCCUGUGUGCUAGUGAUACUUUGUAAUGUCUACUUACUGGUGAUGCCAUUAUAAUUCUGUAUUUCAUAGGUAUGGGGGGAAAAAUCAAUGGGUUAAUUUGUGUUCUAAAACCUGCCAGCUACACUGGUACAGGCAAGCUAUACAGUUGCCUCCCCAGUGCUAGCGCAAGCUGUUCUGCUUGGUUCACAGUAGCCAAUGGAGCGUGGGUUGUUUUUUGUGUGUUGUGAGUGUGGCUGUUUUUUUCCAUAGUGCCAGAGAAGGAAUUUUAGAGCUCCAACGUUUCCUGGUAGGCUCUAGCGAAUGAUGAGUGUACAUUAUAAACAAGCCACAAAACAACCUGCACCUUCUGUGGCAAAGUUAACGAAAACUAAACAAAUAAUCUAAACAUAGCUAUGAUUGUCUAUUUUAUGUAUGUAUCUUGUCGUCACACACAGAGAAAACACUACAAAGUAGACCAAUCUCUUUAAUCUGCUGUAUGCUCUUGCAAAUAUCUCAGUAGUAAUAUCACACACACACCAACAAAUGCAGUGCAAAGUCACUGAGUUGGCAAGAACAGCAGCCAAAACGGGGCACGCCAGUAACAAAGACAAAACUAGGGUGAUGCAUAUCAAUAAUUCAAAAGAAGACUGUAUUAUUCUGGAGGGGGAGAGGUAAGCUCCUUUACCUACCUGGGAAGUGUCAUAGGGAAGGAUGGAGGAGCAGACAAAGACAUCCAAAUGAAAAUAGAAAAAGCAAGAACAGCAUUAAUCAUGCUCAAGCCUAUCUGGAACACAAAAAUCAUUUCAGCUCAAACAAAGCUUUGCAUUUGUAAUACUAAAGUAAAAUCAGUGCUGUUGUAUGGAGCAGAAACACGGAGGACAACAGAGGCAUCAAAAAACAAAUGACAAGCUUUCAUAAAUAAAUGCCUCAGAACCAUCUUAGGAAUUUAUUGGCCAAACACCAUCAGGAACGAAGACCUCUGGGAAAGAGCAGAACAAGAAAUCAUAGAAACACAAAUCAAGAGAAGAAAGUGGUGCUGGAUUGGACAUACAUGCAGAAAAACAACAACAUACAUAACCAGACAGUCACUGACUUGGAACCCACAAGACCAAGAAACAGCUGGAGGAGGUCCACUGAGGCAGAACUGAAGGAGAUUUGAUACUCCUGGAAGGAACUGGAGAAACCAGCCCAAAACAGAGCCAGGUGGAGGAUCAAAGUGGAUGACCUAUGCUCCCUAAGGAGCAAAAAGGGGUUAACCUAACGCUCUUGUAAAUUAUGGGAAUGAGUUGCACAAACAGUGGUCAGCCAGAUAAACAUUUGGACUGAGCAGGACCUGGAUACUUGACUUAGACCAGCCUCUCACAGAAUAAUCAUAUUGAUCUGCUCUCCAGUUAAUUGCAAGUGUUUUCUGACUUCCUAAAAUUCAAACAAAUCCAACUCGAUGAUGUAAAUACAUACAACGUUCACAAACUCAACGGACUCCUCCGAUAAUUCGAUGCUGCAGUGAGAAAGUCAGAUAGACCGUUCUAGGCCAAAAAAACUUUAAUAACUCUGCGCUAUGGACUUCAAAAACAUGACUUUCUUGACCGGUUCAUAAAACAAAUAUGUUUGUAACUAUAGUUCUUCCCUUGGGGGUCACAUCAUGGAGUCAAAACAGGGCAUGCAUUUAAAAAGUUGAAUCAACUUUGAAUUAUUGAAAAAUAAAUACAAAACAGAAUCUCCUUUGUAUUUUUCCAAAGUAAGUAAAUGCUUCUUACUAAAUAUUACUUUUAAAUGAAUAUAGACAUCUGUAAAGGAAACAAGCAAAUAAUGAAUGGUUCAGCUGUUUAACUCCACAAAAUGCAAUGUUGAAACAAUGGUCUUUUGUAACCCAUGUAACUCAUGAAAUCAAUGUCUGUCAUUGUCAUGUAAAUACUGAAUUUGUAAAGUACCAUUCUUAAUUUGAAAGCCAUUUGUUAUGAACUACCUGUUCUGUUACAAGGACAUGUUUCAUUGUACAUGUACAUGCUGGUAAUAAAAAAAGAAACCCUUGAAAACCACAAUGUAGGCAAGACAAAUGGGUUGUUAAAUCUUGAAUGUGUUUCUGAUGACAUCCUACAGAUGUCAGGACUGCCCAGUCCCUGACCACAUUCCGGCACCUCCUUAAGACUCACCUCUUCAAACAGCACCUGUAGAACUCCUCUGUUUGUAUCCUGGGACACUAUCACCCUUCAUUUAAAUGUGCUUUAUUUUGCUCUUAUCUGCCCCCUAUUUUACUGCAUUUAAUCCUGUGCUUCAGAAUACUGUAAUCUGCCAAGUGUUUAACCUGUAGUAUUUUGUAUUUAAUCAUAUCCUGAUGUAACUAUCACUAUUAUCUGCUGUAUUAUUGAAUUGUGGUUUGUCACACUUGAACAAAAGUUAUUGUAUUUCUUGCUCUUAUUGUAUUACUUGUAUUGUAACACUUGAAAUGUAUUUGCUUACGAUUGUAAGUCGCCCUGGAUAAGGGCGUCUGCUAAGAAAUAAAUAAUAAUAAUAAUAAUAAUAA